Molecule: long non-coding RNA, 425 nt
Organism: Capra hircus (goat)
Lineage: Eukaryota; Metazoa; Chordata; Mammalia; Artiodactyla; Bovidae
Source: Ensembl
GGUAACCUUAAGGGAACAGAGAGUAGGUUUCACGAUGGCAAUUACUUUUCAUGUCUAUAGUCAUCCAGAAUAUAUCCCAGAAGAUUUGGAGUGUGGAACACCAACUAAAUCCAGAGAGCCUCUGUGCUUGGAUUAGCUCCACUGGGCAUGAAACAAGACACCCCCCUGCCCCUCCAUGUUUUAGAAAAAUUGUGUCAAGUUUCAACAAGAAUUCUCCAGUAUUCCUGCCUGGAGAAUUCCAUGGAGAGAGGAGCCUGACAGGCCAGAGUCCAUGGGAUCGCAGUCAGACACGACUGAAUGACUCACAGAAAUUCUGUGUCACAGAAAUAACAUUCACAUGUUUAGGACAUGACAAUAUCUCACCCGGACUCUUGUCAAAUUCUUUCCGGAGAGUGAAGCAAAGAAUAACAAGCCGAAGACUCUGA